This 497-nucleotide ribosomal RNA is filed under the name uncultured bacterium. RNAcentral describes it as "partial 16S ribosomal RNA". It matches the Rfam family "Bacterial small subunit ribosomal RNA", at positions 28 to 507 of the family's 1533-position model. The record is from RNAcentral.
GAUGAACGCUGGCGGCGUGCCUAAUACAUGCAAGUCGAGCGAACGGACGAGAAGCUUGCUUCUCUGAUGUUAGCGGCGGACGGGUGAGUAACACGUGGAUAACCUACCUAUAAGACUGGGAUAACUUCGGGAAACCGGAGCUAAUACCGGAUAAUAUUUUGAACCGCAUGGUUCAAAAGUGAAAGACGGUCUUGCUGUCACUUAUAGAUGGAUCCGCGCUGCAUUAGCUAGUUGGUAAGGUAACGGCUUACCAAGGCAACGAUGCAUAGCCGACCUGAGAGGGUGAUCGGCCACACUGGAACUGAGACACGGUCCAGACUCCUACGGGAGGCAGCAGUAGGGAAUCUUCCGCAAUGGGCGAAAGCCUGACCGAGCAACGCCGCGUGAGUGAUGAAGGUCUUCGGAUCGUAAAGCUCUGUUAUUAGGGAAGAACAUAUGUGUAAGUAACUGUGCACAUCUUGACGGUACCUACUCAGAAAGCCACGGCUAACUACGUG